GAUGAACGCUGGCGGCGUGCUUAACACAUGCAAGUCGAACGGAAAGGCCCAAGCUUGCUUGGGUACUCGAGUGGCGAACGGGUGAGUAACACGUGGGUGAUCUGCCCUGCACUUCGGGAUAAGCCUGGGAAACUGGGUCUAAUACCGGAUAGGACGAUGGUUUGGAUGCCAUUGUGGAAAGUUUUUUCGGUGUGGGAUGAACUCGCGGCCUAUCAGCUUGUUGGUGGGGUAAUGGCCUACCAAGGCGUCGACGGGUAGCCGGCCUGAGAGGGUGUACGGCCACAUUGGGACUGAGAUACGGCCCAGACUCCUACGGGAGGCAGCAGUGGGGAAUAUUGCACAAUGGGCGCAAGCCUGAUGCAGCGACGCCGCGUGGGGGAUGACGGCCUUCGGGUUGUAAACUCCUUUCGCUAGGGACGAAGCGUUUUUGUGACGGUACCUGGAGAAGAAGCACCGGCUAACUACGUG
Molecule: ribosomal RNA, 468 nt
Filed under: uncultured bacterium
Lineage: Bacteria
Description: partial 16S ribosomal RNA
Rfam family: Bacterial small subunit ribosomal RNA
Source: RNAcentral